This 492-nucleotide ribosomal RNA is filed under the name uncultured bacterium. RNAcentral's name for it is "partial 16S ribosomal RNA". It matches the Rfam family "Bacterial small subunit ribosomal RNA", at positions 29 to 507 of the family's 1533-position model. The record is from RNAcentral.
AGUGAACGCUGGCGGUAGGCCUAACACAUGCAAGUCGAACGGCAGCACAGUAAGGGCUUGCUCUUACGGGUGGCGAGUGGCGGACGGGUGAGGAAUACAUCGGAAUCUACUUUUUCGUGGGGGAUAACGUAGGGAAACUUACGCUAAUACCGCAUACGACCUACGGGUGAAAGCGGGGGAUCUUCGGACCUUGCGCGAUUGAAUGAGCCGAUGUCGGAUUAGCUAGUUGGCGGGGUAAAGGCCCACCAAGGCGACGAUCCGUAGCUGGUCUGAGAGGAUGAUCAGCCACACUGGAACUGAGACACGGUCCAGACUCCUACGGGAGGCAGCAGUGGGGAAUAUUGGACAAUGGGCGCAAGCCUGAUCCAGCCAUACCGCGUGGGUGAAGAAGGCCUUCGGGUUGUAAAGCCCUUUUGUUGGGAAAGAAAAGCAGCAGGUUAAUACCCCGCUGUUCUGACGGUACCCAAAGAAUAAGCACCGGCUAACUUCGUG